AUUGAACGCUGGCGGCAGGCCUAACACAUGCAAGUCGAGCGAGCGGCGGACGGGUGUGUAAUGUCUGGGAAACUGCCUGAGGGAGGGGGGGAACUACUGGAAACGGGGGCGAAAACCCCAUAUCAGAAGGGGUGUGUAGAGGGGGUUAGCUAGUGGGGGGGGUAAUGGCUCACCUAGGCGACGAUCCCUAGAUGGUCUGAGAGGGUGACCAGCCACCCUGGAACUGAGACACGGUCCAGACUCCUCCGGGAGGCCGCUGUGGGGAAUAUUGCACAAUGGGCGCAAGCCUGAUGCAGCCAUGCCGCGUGUGUGAAGAAGGCCUUCGGGUUGUAAAGCACUUUCCGCGGGGGAGCGUUCUCGCAGAAAAGCACCGGCUAACUCCGUGCCAGCAGCCGCGGUAAUUC
RNAcentral lists this ribosomal RNA (404 nucleotides) under uncultured bacterium. Its description in RNAcentral is "partial 16S ribosomal RNA". It matches the Rfam family "Bacterial small subunit ribosomal RNA", at positions 28 to 526 of the family's 1533-position model. The record is from RNAcentral.